CUCCCCGCCGCCGCCGCCUCACUCUAUCUCCCUCUCUGCUCUCUGCCUCCCCGCCUCCGCCUCCCCCCUCCCGAAAUCCCCGUCCCAUCCAUCCACACCCUAGCUGCCAGUCUUCGCAUCUCUCUCAUAGGCGGCGGUGGUGUCCCCUCCCCUCCUCUCCUCCCCGCAAGAUCCGGUGUGCAGCACCAUGGACGCCGGUGCGAAGGAGCAGAGGGACCUGGCGUGGUGGGGCCGCCGUGGCCUCGGCUGUCCGGCCAUGGGUGCUUGUCCCCGUGGCCGUCGCCGCCGCUUCCGUGUUCCGGAUGGAGGCGUUCCUCCGACGGCGCCAUGGGGAAGACCUGCAUGCUCAUCUGUUGCCCCUGCAAGUUCCCCACGGUUAGGAACAAAGAAUCCUUGCCAUUAAUCAAGAUAUGUAACUACCUGAAGCUCAUCAGAAGGCACUUUGUUUUGAUGAUAGAAGGAAAACAGAGACGGAGAAGAAGAGAAAAUGAACUACUGUGAUUAGCUAAGAUGGUUAUAUAUAUGGACAGAGCUCACAGCUUCAGCUUACCUAAGUAGAUUGACCGUGACCACAAAUUCUAACUUUAAUCCUAAGAGCUACACAAUCUAAAAACGAGGUAUAGUUUUCUGGACUAUCUUUUGUUACAUACAUAUACACAGCCUGUGCUUUGCCUUUGUGUAUUUGAUCAGGUUUACUCAAUCAAUGUUCCUACCAUGUAUCGCCUCUACUAUUAUUGUCUCGACCUUGGUUCUAUCUCAAUGGACAAAAUAAAAUUGGUGUUAAUCAAAUACAUGCUAUAUCAACCACUGCUACACUAGAUACAUAAUGCAAGCAUAAUGGAUGUAUUUGAAAAUUUGUAGCUAAGCUGAUCAAUAUUUCUCAAGAGUUGAAAAGCUUCAGUUGCAUGAUCAACAUUUCCCAAGUUGACAAUGCUCCCUCGAUGAAGGGCGUGUGGUUUUCUAUGUGCUUUUGCAGGAUUACAUCCCCACUGUCUUUAGUGCCAAUGUCUCGGUGGAUGGGAGCACUGUCAACUCGGGCCUCUGGGACACAGCAGGAGGGUCACAGCAGAUUGAGGCCUCUUUGCUACAGGGGUGUGGAUGUGUUCAUCCUCUCCUCUCUGGUCAGCAGGAAAAGCUGUGAGAAUGUCUUGAAGAAGUUCAGUGUCCAAUCCAACAUGGGGUUAUCUACAGGCACAACAUUUCCAUCUGCAGUACACCAUGUAUUGUUUCUCGCUGCAGAUACUUGCCUGCAGGGUGUGCCAUCAUGAGCACAGCAAGCAGGUUGAGUUAGAUGAACCAUACAAAUGAUCGAGUGGAGAUUGGAUUGUCCCAAUUUUAGACAGAUACCUUUUAUGAGGCGACAUGCUAACUAGAUAUUUAAUUGAACUCGAGAUGUAGACUACUUUAGCCCACAUGUCAUUUUUUUUCUUCAUCAAAACAUGUCUCUACCUAAUUCUUCCUAAUUUUCUUUUCCAGUCUGGUGUCAGUUAGUAUGGGUUACUCACUUGAGAAUCGACCCUGCCUGCUCUGUGCUCGAUUUUGACCGUUGAUGGAAGAUCCGACAGUGGAUAAAUAGCAGUGACGUUGCCCAAUCUCAUGCACGAGCCGAUGGUGCUGAUUUCGUUCGUUAGAGAUUACUUCAACCAGGGCGUGGGUGCGGCGUCGAAGAAGAGGUUGCGCUAGGCGUGGGACUUGCAUAUGUACUUAACCAAUUACUCUAUCCAAUAUUCAAACUCAAGCUGCCAUUUUUGCUGUGAUUUACAUUCUGUCAACAAACUCUACCUAUUGAUGCUUCAUGCAUCACAGGUGCCUGAUUGGCUGCCAUGUUCAACUUCAUGAACUUCACCAAUUGCUGCUGCUUUUGAUGUGA
Molecule: RNA transcript, 1870 nt
Organism: Panicum virgatum (switchgrass)
Lineage: Eukaryota; Viridiplantae; Streptophyta; Magnoliopsida; Poales; Poaceae
Exons: 6
Source: RefSeq, a predicted model, not a curated record